GCAGCACAUGGACGGUUUUAUGGAAGAAAUAUCAGGGUUUGGAGCUGAUUUUAAAAUCUUGGAAAACUGCAGAACGUGGAUGGUUUUAUGGAAGAAAUACCAGGGUUUGAGGCUGAUUUUAAAAUCCUGGAAAACUGCAGCACCAAGAUGGUUUUAUUGAAGAAUUAUCAGGGCUUGAGGCUGGGGAUAAAAUCCUGGAAAACUGCAGAACGUGGAUGGUUUUAUUGAAGAAAUACCAGGGUUUGGGGUUGGCUAUAAAAUCCUGGAAAACUGCAGCACAUGGACGGUUUUAUGGAAGAAAUAUCAGGGUUUGGAGCUGAUUUAAAAAUCUUGGAAAACUGCAGAACGUGGAUGGUUUUAUUGGAAGAAAUACCAGGGUUUGGGGCUGGGCAGAAAAUCUUGGAAAACUGCAGCACGUGGAUGGUUUUAUGGAAGAAAUACCAGGGUUUGAGGCUGAUUUUAAAAUCCUGGAAUAUUGCAGCCCAUGGAUGGUUUUAUGGAAGAAUUAUCAGGGAUUGAGGCUGGGGAGAAAAUCCUGGAAAACUGCAGAACGUGGAUGGUUUUAUGGAAGAAUUAUCAGGGUUUGGAGCUGAUUUUAAAAUCCUGGAAUAUUGCAGCCCAUGGAUAGUUUUAUGGAAGAAAGAUCAGGGUUUGAGGCUGGGGGGAAAAUCCUGGAAAACUGCAGCCCAUGGAUGGUUUUAUGGAAGAAUUAUCAGUGUCUGAAGCUGAUUUAAAAAUCUGGGAAAACUGCAGAACGUGGAUGGUUUUAUGGAAGAAAUAUCAGGGUUUGGGGUUGGCUAUAAAAUCCUGGAAAACUGCAGCCCAUGGAUGGUUUUAUGGAAGAAUUAUCAGGGUCUGAAGCUGAUUUAAAAAUCCUGGAAAACUGCAGAACGUGGAUGGUUUUAUUGAAGAAAUAUCAGGGUUUGAGGCUGAUUUAAAAAUCUUGGAAUAUUGCAGCACCAAGAUGGUUUUAUUGAAUAAUUAUCAGGGCUUGAGGCUGAUGUAAAAAUCUUGGAAAAUCUCAGCACCAGGAUGGUUUUAUGAAAGAAUUAUCAGGGUUUGGGGUUGGCUAUAAAAUCCUGGAAAACUGCAGAACGUGAUGGUUUUAUGGAAAAGGAAUAAAAGCAGGGAAAGGAAUUAAGCAGGGAAAGGAAUGAACCAGGGAAAGGAAUAAAGCAGGAAAAAGGAAUAAAGCAGGAAAGGAAUAAAG
Molecule: long non-coding RNA, 1210 nt
Organism: Serinus canaria (Common canary)
Lineage: Eukaryota; Metazoa; Chordata; Aves; Passeriformes; Fringillidae
Exons: 3
Source: RefSeq, a predicted model, not a curated record